UACGUAAGUGGCGAGCGUUGUCCGGAUUUACUGGGCGUAAAGGGAGCGUAGGCGGACUUUUAAGUGAGAUGUGAAAUACUCGGGCUCAACUUGAGUGCUGCAUUUCAAACUGGAAGUCUAGAGUGCAGGAGAGGAGAAUGGAAUUCCUAGUGUAGCGGUGAAAUGCGUAGAGAUUAGGAAGAACGCCAGUGGCGAAGGCGAUUCUCUGGACUGUAACUGACGCUGAGGCUCGAAAGCGUGGGGAGCAAACAGG
This 253-nucleotide ribosomal RNA is filed under the name uncultured bacterium. RNAcentral's name for it is "partial 16S ribosomal RNA". It matches the Rfam family "Bacterial small subunit ribosomal RNA", at positions 524 to 776 of the family's 1533-position model. The record is from RNAcentral.